RNAcentral lists this ribosomal RNA (432 nucleotides) under uncultured bacterium. Its description in RNAcentral is "partial 16S ribosomal RNA". It matches the Rfam family "Bacterial small subunit ribosomal RNA", at positions 29 to 507 of the family's 1533-position model. The record is from RNAcentral.
AACGAACGCUGGCGGCAUGCCUAACACAUGCAAGUCGAACGAAGCCUUCGGGCUUAUUGGCGCACGGGUUCGUAACGCGUGGGAAUCUUCCCCUUGCUUCGGAAUAACAGUUAGAAAUGACUGCUAAUACCGGAUGAAGUCUUCUGACCAAAGAUUUAUUGGCAAGGGAUGAGCCCGCGUAGGAUUCGGUAGUUGGAGGGGUAACGGCCUACAAAGCCGACGAUCCUUAGCUGGUCUGAGAGGAUGAUCAGCCACACUGGGACUGAGACACGGCCCAGACUCGUAGGGAAGGCAGAAGUGGGGAAUGUGGGACACUGACGCAAGUCUGAUCCAGCAAUGCCGCGUGAGUGAUGAAGGCCUUAGGGUUGUAAAGCUCUUUUACCAGGGUUGAUAAUGACAGUACCUAGAGAAUAAGCUCCGGCUAACUACGUG